Molecule: ribosomal RNA, 1259 nt
Filed under: metagenome
Description: bacterial SSU rRNA
Rfam family: Archaeal small subunit ribosomal RNA
Source: RNAcentral
AGGAAUAUUCCUUUAAAAGUAAUGCCUAAGGAUGAGUUGGCGGCUGAUUAGGUUGUUGGUGGGGUAAUGGCCUACCAAGCCGGGGAUCAGUAGGGGCUUUGAGAGAGGUAGCCCCGAGAAGGGCACUGAGAUACUGGCCCCAACCCUACGGGGUGCAGCAGGCGCGAAACCUUUACAAUGCACGAAAGUGUGAUAAGGGAAUUCCAAGUGCUUAUGCUAUGCAUAGGCUUUUGUUAAGAGUAAAUAUCUUGGCGAAUAAGUGGUGGGCAAGACUGGUGCCAGCCGCCGCGGUAACACCAGCGCCACGAGUGGCAACCAUGUUUAUUGGGCCUAAAGCGUCCGUAGCCGGAUUAAUAAAUCUUUUGUGAAAUUGUUAAGCUUAACUUAACAGCGUGCAGAAGACACUAUUAAUCUUGGGACCGGGAGGAGUCAGAAGUAUUUCUUGGGGAGCGGUAAAAUGCUAUAAUCCUUGAAAGACUACCUGUGGCGAAGGCGUCUGACUAGAACGGAUUCGACGGUGAGGGACGAAAGCCAGGGGAGCGAACCGGAUUAGAUACCCGAGUAGUCCUGGCCGUAAACGCUGUGAGCUAGGUGUUGCAUAUUCUACAUGAAUAUGCAGUGUCGAAACGAAGGUGUUAAGCUCACCGCCUGGGAAGUACAGUCGCAAGACCGAAACUUAAAGGAAUUGGCGGGGGAGCACCACAAGGGGUGCGGCGUGCGGUUUAAUCUAACUCAACGCAGAAAAUCUCACCAUGGGCGACGGCAGGAUGACAGUCAGGCUAAAGGUCUUACUUGACGAGCCGAGAGGUGGUGCAUGGCCGCCGUCAGCUCGUGCCGUAAGGUGUCCUGUUAAGUCAGGUAACGAGCGAGACCUGUACCCACAAUUGCUAACGACCUCUGGGAUCGAGCACUAUGUGGGGACUGCCUUGGAAACAAGGAGGAAGGUGCAGGCAACGGUAGGUCUGUAUGCCCCGAAUCUCACGGGCUACACGCGCGCAACAAUGGUUGGGACAAUGGGAUACAACUCCGAAAGGAGAAGUUAAACCUCUAAACCCAAUCUUAGUCCAGAUUGAGGAUUGUAACUCAUCCUCAUGACGAUGGAAUCCCUAGUAAUCGGAUCUCACUACGGUCCGGUGAAUAUGUCCCUGCUCCUUGCACACACCGCCCGUCAAACCACUCGAGUAGGGUCUAGAUGAGGAUUAGGUUUUUGCUUGAUACGAAUCUAAGCUCAGCGAGAUGGGUUAAGUCGUCACAAGGUA